Molecule: RNA transcript, 2685 nt
Organism: Hevea brasiliensis (rubber tree)
Lineage: Eukaryota; Viridiplantae; Streptophyta; Magnoliopsida; Malpighiales; Euphorbiaceae
Gene name: peroxisomal membrane protein 13
Exons: 3
Source: RefSeq, a predicted model, not a curated record
UGUCAGCCCUAAUUUCCAUGGCAGCAGGUUACUUUCACUUUUUAUUUUCUUCUUGGUUUUUAUAAGAUUAUAUCCAUUAUCACCAGCUCUGCCCUUUUUUUUUAUUAUUAUCUUUAAUUCUAUACAUUUCUUAACCGAUCUUUUCUAUCGUCAAUGGAGUGGAUUGAGUUAUGGCCUCUCGCUUCUUCAUCAUCCUUAGCUAAGCUAAUUGGUUUACAUUAUAUGGCUGCUUUCUUCUUCUUCUUCUUCUUCUUCUUCUUCUUCAAUUCUUCUUUUCUUUUAAAUUGUUUCUAAUUUUUAUUUCAUUUGAUUAUUUGUCAUGUGGAAUGAUGGUUUGCAGUUCUUAGAAUCAAUAGCAUUUCAUAUUUCAUCUUGUGGAAGUCUUGCUAGAAUAAUAUGCUUGAGAUUUAUGAUGUAUUCGUACGGAAGUCUUUUCUUCUUCUUUUUUGAAGAAUAUGUCAAGGAGCCUUUUUUUUUUAUUCGUUCAAAUUGAUUUAUAUAUUUUUUUUAUUUAAUUUGGAUUUUCUUUUUUGGGUAUUUUCAAAUCUCAGAUUCUUGUGAUCUAUUUUGCAGACUUCUGAUGAUUUUGUUAAAGGUAUUUCCUUUACCUAAAUAGACCUGCCAACUGAGAAGACCUAUUUUCUUUAUUAAUUAUAUAAAAAAUGUCUCUCUCAUUGCAUCUAUCUACAUUUUCCUCCUCCUUUCUCAUUCUGUUUUAUUAUUUAUUUAUUGCUUUGUGACGUUUCCUGUUAGUUAUUGUACAUAAUAAUGUUUGAACACUGCAGCUAAUAAUCCUCCUCCAAAACCUUGGGAACGAGCCUGUGGUCCUUCUGGUUCUACACCUUUUAAACCUCCAUCAUCUGGCAGCACAAUUGAUGUAGUGGAGGCUUCAGGAACUGCAAAACCUGGAGAAAUUGUUCCAAGUUUACACAGGAAUGCCUCAGUCAACAGAAAUGCCCUUGGAAGGCCUGCUCCUCCAAGUCCAUGGCAGCAUAACUAUGGCACCAGCAACUAUGGAGGUGGUUUGAUGUUAUUAUAUCUGGCUCUUCCAUCUCUCUAGAUAUCUGCUAAAGAAAAUCCUCUACAAGACCAAAUGCAGAGUUCCACAAAGAGGCCAAGAAUAUUUUCUUGUCACGGGCAUUGACAAAAAAUGAUAAAAGUGUGACUCAGUGUACGAAACAUCUCAUCGGUUUUGGGAGGGUUGAUGUACACAGCCUUACCUUGCUUUGCAGAUAGGCUGUUUCUGUGGCUGAAACCUGUGUUCCUGACAAAAAAAUGAAGGCUGCUAAAGAUUCUUAGCUGCAUUUUUCUUGGCUGCAUCAACUCAUUUAAAACUUUACAUCACAAUCAUGUCAUUAUCGCUUAGGAAGGCAAUGGCAUGUCAAUAUCAACUAUUGAUGGCUCAGAUAAGUGUUUGCUAGUUGAUUCUUGCCAUUGAGUAUGGGAAGAUCGAUCGAUAACUGCAUUCAUUAUAAUUUCAAUCAAGAUAUGUUGUAUUUAUUAAAUUUCUUUUUGCUCAUUAACCAUUUGCCAUUUUCUUGAUGACAGAUGCAGGGUGUGGUGAACUGUUUUGGCCGCAUAUCAAUUCUCAUAGUCCAGAAUACACAAGCCUUUCACAUGAUCAUGAGUGCUCUUCUUCAGCUUUUUGAUCGGUCUGCUCUGUUGUAUGUAGAGUUAGCCAGAUUUGCACUGAGGCUGCUGGGGUUUAGAACAAAGCCGCGAAUGGUUCAACCGCGGGCUUCCAAUGGACUCCCUCCCCCACCAGAAAAUCAGCAGCACCUUCAAGGAUCAAAGGCAGCUCCCAGUGGGCCUGGGGACAGUGUGUAAGAAAAUGAUGCAAUAUUGUUUCCGGUGCCUGUGAAGUGAAUAUGAUUUAGAGUGUUGAUAGGAAAGAAAACUCUUGUGAGGUUUUGAUCUAACAUCAAACUGCACAUUAUCUUCACUACCAAAUUUAUGUAAUCUUCAUAAUUGUACUCCAAAUUAAAUCUGGUUUUUAAUUCUGAGAUAGUGAGAAAUUAUACAAAAUUCUCAAUAAUAUUAACUCUGUAGGUCUUUAUCCCAAAAAAAAAAAAAAAAAAAAACAUAGUUGCAUGGAUCUGGUUCUCAAGGUCGUCGAUCCUCUAAGGCUACAAACAACGAUGCACGGAAAUGGGACUUGGUAGCGUUUUCCAGUGUCCGAAACGUUUCCGACAUAGAAACGAGAUGACACAGCUCGUAGACGUUUCUCAUGCGUUUUCAGCUACGGACAUGCGUUUUUUUAAAAUAAUAAUAAUAAUUAGGUUAAAAAUGCAAACUGCGCCGCAUUACAAUACACGGAAUAGAAGACAAAAAAGAAGAGAAGAAGAAGAAAAAGGAGGAGGAGGAGAGAAUUAGAAGACUUACCUAGCAAUGUGGUGUAGCUGUGAUAAACAGUGGCAACGGCAAUGGCAGUGACAGUGCAAGUGAGGGAUCCCUUCUCUGCCUCUCGCAGUCUGGCCUUUAACCUUCUCCAUUCCAUUGACAGUGACUUACCUGCCUCGCAGUCUCGCCUAUUGUGAUGCUUUGGUUGUUUCUUGGUUUUUUGAUUGCUUUACAUUGGAAUGGGUUUUGAUUGUUUUAAGUUUUUGAAUAUGGUUUAGUCUGGACGUUUGAUUUGUAAUUUAUGUGGGAAGAAAUUAUAUAAAUUUUUGCUACCAUUUAAUUCCU